GACGAACGCUGGCGGCGUGCUUAACACAUGCAAGUCGAGGGCACUAUUGGGGGCAACCUGGGUAGUGACCGGCGAACGGGUGCGUAACACGUGAGCGACCUUGCCUCGUGGUGGGGGAUAGCCGGCCCAACGGCCGGGUAAUACCGCAUAUGGUAGUUUCUUCGCAUGAGGAGACUAGCAAAGCCUUGGAGCAAUCCAAUGGCGCCACAGGGGGGGCUCGCGGCCUAUCAGCAGGUUGGGGGGGUAAUGGCCCACCAAGGCGACGGACGGGUAGCUGGUCUGAGAGGAUGGCCAGCCACAUUGGGACUGAGACACUGCCCAGACUCCUACGGGGGGCUGCAGUAACGAAUCUUCCGCAAUGCACGCAAGUGUGACGGA
This 378-nucleotide ribosomal RNA is filed under the name uncultured bacterium. Its description in RNAcentral is "partial 16S ribosomal RNA". It matches the Rfam family "Bacterial small subunit ribosomal RNA", at positions 28 to 390 of the family's 1533-position model. The record is from RNAcentral.